GAUGAACGCUGGCGGCGUGCCUAAUACAUGCAAGUCGAGCGAACAGACGAGGAGCUUGCUCCUUUGACGUUAGCGGCGGACGGGUGAGUAACACGUGGAUAACCUACCUAUAAGACUGGGAUAACUUCGGGAAACCGGAGCUAAUACCGGAUAACAUGUUGAACCGCAUGGUUCAACAGUGAAAGACGGUCUUGCUGUCACUUAUAGAUGGAUCCGCGCCGCAUUAGCUAGUUGGUAAGGUAACGGCUUACCAAGGCAACGAUGCGUAGCCGACCUGAGAGGGUGAUCGGCCACACUGGAACUGAGCCACGGUCCAGACUCCUACGGGAGGCAGCAGUAGGGAAUCUUCCGCAAUGGGCGAAAGCCUGACGGAGCAACGCCGCGUGAGUGAAGAAGGUCUUCGGAUCGUAAAACUCUGUUAUUAGGGAAGAACAAAUGUGUAAGUAACUAUGCACGUCUUGACGGUACCUAAUCAGAAAGCCACGGCUAACUACGUG
RNAcentral lists this ribosomal RNA (497 nucleotides) under uncultured bacterium. RNAcentral describes it as "partial 16S ribosomal RNA". It matches the Rfam family "Bacterial small subunit ribosomal RNA", at positions 28 to 507 of the family's 1533-position model. The record is from RNAcentral.